CAGCAGCCGCGGUAAUACGAAGGGGGCUAGCGUUGCUCGGAAUUACUGGGCGUAAAGGGAGCGUAGGCGGACAUUUAAGUCAGGGGUGAGAUCCCAGAGCUCAACUCUGGAACUGCCUUUGAUACUGGGUGUCUUGAGUGUGAUAGAGGUAUGUGGAACUCCGAGUGUAGAGGUGAAAUUCGUAGAUAUUCGGAAGAACACCAGUGGCGAAGGCGACAUACUGGAUCAUUACUGACGCUGAGGCUCGAAAGCGUGGGGAGCAAACAGGAUUAGAUACCCCCGUAGUCCCUGUCUCUUAUAC
RNAcentral lists this ribosomal RNA (301 nucleotides) under uncultured bacterium. RNAcentral describes it as "partial 16S ribosomal RNA". It matches the Rfam family "Bacterial small subunit ribosomal RNA", at positions 509 to 807 of the family's 1533-position model. The record is from RNAcentral.